This 204-nucleotide long non-coding RNA is filed under the name Elaeis guineensis (African oil palm). RNAcentral's name for it is "long non-coding RNA (EGUI_LNC015959)". The record is from RNAcentral. Lineage: Eukaryota; Viridiplantae; Streptophyta; Magnoliopsida; Arecales; Arecaceae.
UCAUCCGAAAUUCGAAGAGCAGACUCACGUCCAACCAACGACUGGCAUGAUCAAUAUGAUCUCGGCAGGACCGCGACCCUGGGGGUUAGACGACCAUGAAAGUACUUCCAAGCAUCAGCACAUCAAUAAUGACAUCGUAUUUACUGAAGCAGAUCGGCGAGGAGUCCAAACUCCUCAUAAUAAUGCUAUAGUCGUGUCAAUGAC